GAUGAACGCUGGCGGCGUGCCUAAUACAUGCAAGUCGAGCGAACAGACGAGGAGCUUGCUCCUCUGACGUUAGCGGCGGACGGGUGAGUAACACGUGGAUAACCUACCUAUAAGACUGGGUUAACUUCGGGAAACCGGAGCUAAUACCGGAUAAUAUAUUGAACCGCAUGGUUCAAUAGUGAAAGACGGUUUUGCUGUCACUUAUAGAUGGAUCCGCGCCGCAUUAGCUAGUUGGUAAGGUAACGGCUUACCAAGGCAACGAUGCGUGGCCGACCUGAGAGGGUGAUCGGCCACACUGGAACUGAGACACGGUCCAGACUCCUACGGGAGGCAGCAGUAGGGAAUCUUCCGCAAUGGGCGAAAGCCUGACGGAGCAACGCCGCGUGAGUGAUGAAGGUCUUCGGAUCGUAAAACUCUGUUAUUAGGGAAGAACAAAUGUGUAAGUAACUAUGCACGUCUUGACGGUACCUAAUCAGAAAGCCACGGCUAACUACGUG
This 497-nucleotide ribosomal RNA is filed under the name uncultured bacterium. Its description in RNAcentral is "partial 16S ribosomal RNA". It matches the Rfam family "Bacterial small subunit ribosomal RNA", at positions 28 to 507 of the family's 1533-position model. The record is from RNAcentral.